UACGUAGGUGGCAAGCGUUGUCCGGAAUUACUGGGCGUAAAGAAUGCGUAGGCGGCUUUUUAAGUGGGAUGUGAAAUCCCUGGGCUCAACCCAGGAACUGCAUUCCAAACUGGAAGGCUAGAGUGUGGGAGAGGAAAAUGGUAUUCCCAGUGUAGCGGUGAAAUGCGUAGAGAUUGGGAGGAACACCAGUAGCGAAGGCGAUUUUCUGGAACAUAACUGACGCUGAGGCAUGAAAGCGUGGGGAGCAAACAGG
RNAcentral lists this ribosomal RNA (253 nucleotides) under uncultured bacterium. RNAcentral's name for it is "partial 16S ribosomal RNA". It matches the Rfam family "Bacterial small subunit ribosomal RNA", at positions 524 to 776 of the family's 1533-position model. The record is from RNAcentral.